UACGGAGGGGGCUAGCGUUGUUGGGAAUUACUGGGCGUAAAGCGCGCGUAGGCGGACCUGCAAGUCGGGGGUGAAAGCCCGGGGCUCAACCUCGGAACUGCCUUUGAUACUGCAAAUCUCGAGUCCGGAAGAGGUGAGUGGAAUUCCUAGUGUAGAGGUGAAAUUCGUAGAUAUUAGGAAGAACACCAGUGGCGAAGGCGGCUCACUGGUCCGGUACUGACGCUGAGGUGCGAAAGCGUGGGGAGCAAACAGG
Molecule: ribosomal RNA, 253 nt
Filed under: uncultured bacterium
Lineage: Bacteria
Description: partial 16S ribosomal RNA
Rfam family: Bacterial small subunit ribosomal RNA
Source: RNAcentral